CAAUAGCGUAUAUUUAAGUUGUUGCAGUUAAAAAGCUCGUAGUUGGAUUUCGGAUGGGACUUGCCGGUCCGUCGUUUCGAUGUGCACUGGCCAGUCCUAUCUUGUUGUCGGGGACUAGCUCCUGGGCUUCACUGUCCGGGACUAGGAGCUGACGAGGUUACUUUGAGUAAAUUAGAGUGUUCAAAGCAAGCCUACGCUCUGAAUACAUUAGCAUGGAAUAACACGAUAGGACUCUGGCUUAUCUUGUUGGUCUGUGAGACCAGAGUAAUGAUUAAGAGGGACAGUCGGGGGCAUUCGUAGUUCAUUGUCAGAGGUGAAAUUCUUGGAUUUAUGAAAGACGAACUUCUGCGAAAGCAUUUGUCAAGGAUGUUUUCAUUAA
RNAcentral lists this ribosomal RNA (379 nucleotides) under uncultured eukaryote. RNAcentral describes it as "partial 18S ribosomal RNA". It matches the Rfam family "Eukaryotic small subunit ribosomal RNA", at positions 592 to 976 of the family's 1831-position model. The record is from RNAcentral.